UACAGAGGUCUCAAGCGUUGUUCGGAUUUAUUGGGCGUAAAGGGUGCGCAGGCCGCAUGGUAAGUUUGGUGUGAAAUCCUGGAGCUUAACUCCAGAAUUGCACUGAAUACUGCCGUGCUAGAGGACUGGAGAGGAGAUUGGAAUUCACGGUGUAGCAGUGAAAUGCGUAGAUAUCGUGAGGAAGACCAGUGGCGAAGGCGAAUCUCUGGACAGUUCCUGACGCUCAUGCACGAAGGCCAGGGGAGCAAACGGG
RNAcentral lists this ribosomal RNA (253 nucleotides) under uncultured Spartobacteria bacterium. Its description in RNAcentral is "partial 16S ribosomal RNA". It matches the Rfam family "Bacterial small subunit ribosomal RNA", at positions 524 to 776 of the family's 1533-position model. The record is from RNAcentral. Lineage: Bacteria; Pseudomonadati; Verrucomicrobiota; Spartobacteria.